RNAcentral lists this transfer RNA (85 nucleotides) under Verrucomicrobiota bacterium. RNAcentral's name for it is "tRNA-Leu". It matches the Rfam family "tRNA". From Rfam's summary of the family: Transfer RNA (tRNA) molecules are approximately 80 nucleotides in length. Their secondary structure includes four short double-helical elements and three loops (D, anti-codon, and T loops). The record is from RNAcentral. Lineage: Bacteria; Pseudomonadati; Verrucomicrobiota.
GCUCGGGUGGCGAAAUUGGUAGACGCAAGGGACUUAAAAUCCCUCGGAGCAAUCCAUGCCGGUUCAAGUCCGGCCCCGAGCACCA